GUAUUUCAAUGCGAUUAUCGCAAGUGUACAUCCUAAUACUGAUGUUUGUUAAAGAGUACAUAGAGAGACUAGCAAAGUCACCAUGGGUAACCCACUAAAAUGUCAAUCUAUGAAAGGUGCACAGAGGUAUGUGGAUGAAUUAACAAAGCGUGCACAUGCCUAGAAGGCCAGCGACAACUAUGUGAUUGAAUUCAUUAAUGAUCCUUCCGCAGGUUCACCUACGGAAA
Molecule: unclassified non-coding RNA, 227 nt
Filed under: uncultured fungus
Lineage: Eukaryota; Fungi
Description: sequence contains ITS1
Source: RNAcentral